UUGAUACUUACCCUACCGAAGUAUCCGCCAGAGAACUACGAGCACAAACGCUUAAAACUCUAAGGACUUGGCGGUGCCCUAAACCCACCUAGAGGAGCCUGUUCUGUAAUCGAUGAUCCACGAUCAACCCAACCGCCCCUUGCCAAGCACAGCCUACAUACCGCCGUCGCCAGCCCACCUCGAAUGAGAGCGCAACAGUGGGCGCAACAGCACCCCGCUAAUAAGACAGGUCAAGGUAUAGCCUAUGGGACGGAAGAAAUGGGCUACAUUCCCUAUGCAUAGGGCAACACGGAAAGAAGUAUGAAACUGCUUCUAGAAGGAGGAUUUAGCAGUAAAGCGGGACAAUAAAGCUCGCUUUAAGCCGGCCCUAGGGCACGUACACACCGCCCGUCACCCUCA
This 399-nucleotide ribosomal RNA is filed under the name Anas platyrhynchos (mallard). RNAcentral's name for it is "partial 12S ribosomal RNA". It matches the Rfam family "Bacterial small subunit ribosomal RNA", at positions 801 to 1405 of the family's 1533-position model. The record is from RNAcentral. Lineage: Eukaryota; Metazoa; Chordata; Aves; Anseriformes; Anatidae.